CCUACGGGAGGCAGCAGUGAGGAAUAUUGGUCAAUGGACGAGAGUCUGAACCAGCCAAGUAGCGUGAAGGAUGACUGCCCUAUGGGUUGUAAACUUCUUUUAUAUGGGAAUAAAAUGUUCCACGUGUGGGUUUUUGUAUGUACCAUAUGAAUAAGGAUCGGCUAACUCCGUGCCAGCAGCCGCGGUAAUACGGAGGAUCCGAGCGUUAUCCGGAUUUAUUGGGUUUAAAGGGAGCGUAGGUGGAUUGUUAAGUCAGUUGUGAAAGUUUGCGGCUCAACCGUAAAAUUGCAGUUGAAACUGGCAGUCUUGAGUAGAGUAGAGGUGUGCGGAAUGCGUGGUGUAGCGGUGAAAUGCUUAGAUAUCACGAAGAACUCCGAUUGCGAAGGCAGCUCACUGGACUGCAACUGACACUGAGGCUCGAAAGUGUGGGUAUCAAACAGGAUUAGAUACCCCUGUAGUC
RNAcentral lists this ribosomal RNA (460 nucleotides) under uncultured bacterium. RNAcentral describes it as "partial 16S ribosomal RNA". It matches the Rfam family "Bacterial small subunit ribosomal RNA", at positions 338 to 795 of the family's 1533-position model. The record is from RNAcentral.